CCUACGGGGGGCAGCAGUGGGGGAUAUUGGACAAUGGGGGAAACCCUGAUCCAGCGACGCCGCGUGAGUGAAGAAGUAUUUCGGUAUGUAAAGCUCUAUCAGCAGGGAAGAAAGAAAUGACGGUACCUGAGUAAGAAGCCCCGGCUAACUACGUGCCAGCAGCCGCGGUAAUAAGUAGGGGGCAAGCGUUAUCCGGAAUUACUGGGUGUAAAGGGAGCGUAGACGGUAAUGCAAGUCUGGAGUGAAAGGCGGGGGGUCAACCUCCGGACGUCUCUGGAAACUGUGUAACUGGAGUGCAGGAGAGGCAGGCGGAAUUCCUAGUGUAGCGGUGAAAUGCGUAGAUAUUAGGAGGAACACCAGUGGCGAAGGCGGCCUGCUGGACUGUAACUGACGUUGAGGCUCGAAAGCGUGGGGAGCAAACAGGAUUAGAUACCCCGGUAGUC
This 443-nucleotide ribosomal RNA is filed under the name uncultured bacterium. RNAcentral describes it as "partial 16S ribosomal RNA". It matches the Rfam family "Bacterial small subunit ribosomal RNA", at positions 338 to 795 of the family's 1533-position model. The record is from RNAcentral.